CUUUCACAAGGGAAGGACCUGCAUUCCACCACUCAUUUGAAGUCAUUCUAAUUCUCCAGUUGGAACGUUAUUCGAGAGGAUUGCAUUCUGAUGAAGUUCAUCAAAGGUGUAACGCUUGUCGUCUGGGGAAGGAGAGGAGGACCAAGGUGCAGCGUGGGCCGGAUCGAGGAACGGGAAUGCAGACGCGCUGUCCCGACGCGACCAAGACGGUGCGUCUGGCGCCCGGCCCUCCGGUUCGGUCCUGCGGGGGAAGGUAUGUGGAAGGACCACCAGAGGGCAGGCUGGGCUCACGGAUAGUAGCCCAACAAGGCAUGGGAGACAAGGUAACCAGAGGCAAUUAAGCGCAGCUGACGGUACUAAUGACAUAGUCUCCUUCCCCUAUAAGAGAGAGUAUGGAACCAGCAGAGAAGGGGGGAAAACUAUCUCUGGAAGAUGGCCACCAAGACAGAGGAGCUAUCCAUGAAGAACCACUAAGACGGUGACAAGCCCGUGACUUUUGUUGUAGUUUAAAGAUAAUCCUAUUGUGUUCCUGUUUCAUCUGGAAAAGAAGAUGUUUUUUCUUGGGAGAUUUUCAUUGAUUAUGUUGGAGUGUUUGUGUUGACCAAAUGCCCUCAAUAGAGAACUGUGUGCAAUCAAGAAAACCUACUCCUGACUCGUUUAUUCCACCUUCCCGCUUUAGAGUGAUGCCGAAUUAGUCCGCUCACAGUAC
Molecule: long non-coding RNA, 709 nt
Organism: Oncorhynchus tshawytscha (Chinook salmon)
Lineage: Eukaryota; Metazoa; Chordata; Actinopteri; Salmoniformes; Salmonidae
Source: Ensembl